This 72-nucleotide transfer RNA is filed under the name Intestinimonas butyriciproducens. RNAcentral describes it as "tRNA-Thr". It matches the Rfam family "tRNA". From Rfam's summary of the family: Transfer RNA (tRNA) molecules are approximately 80 nucleotides in length. Their secondary structure includes four short double-helical elements and three loops (D, anti-codon, and T loops). Lineage: Bacteria; Bacillati; Bacillota; Clostridia; Eubacteriales. The record is from RNAcentral.
GCUGAUGUGGCUCAAAGGUAGAGCACGGCACUCGUAAUGCCGGGGUUGUGGGUUCGAUUCCCACCAUCAGCU